RNAcentral lists this long non-coding RNA (1488 nucleotides) under Lathyrus oleraceus (garden pea). RNAcentral describes it as "Pisum sativum (pea) long non-coding RNA (PSAT_LNC035094)". Lineage: Eukaryota; Viridiplantae; Streptophyta; Magnoliopsida; Fabales; Fabaceae. The record is from RNAcentral.
ACAAGUUUUAUGUGAUUUAUUUUUUAGAUGUGCUGAAGAGACAAACACAACACAAUGAUGUACCGAGAAGUUACAUAAUAAUUAUUAUAAUUUUAAGAUUUAUUUUACAAAUCUAUAAGGGCCAACAAUUAAAAAUUAAUAAAAGGUAAGGACGCACUUUUAUUUAUAAAUUAUAAAGUUACAAAAUAAUUUAUUAAAAAUAACGAGGAGAAAUAUGGUAGAAAUAAUAAAGUUUGCUUAUAUUGUGAUUAUAUUAUUCUUUCUAUUUCUUAUUGGAACGAAAAUUGAAGGUAAGUUUUAUUUAUUUAUUUUAAAUUUUCUUUUCUAUUUCAUACGUUGUAUUUUAUCUCAUUUUAAUAACCUUAUUGUUUGUUUUUUAGUGCACCAGAUAAAUUCAAAUGUUUUGAUUAUUGAGAUUGUAAAAUCAGAAUUCAUUGUUUGCCUCCUUUUAAAAAGAAAAUGCAUAAACAAAAUUUAUUGUAAAUAUAUACUAGCGCAUGAAUUGUUUAAUCCGAUAAGAUAAACAAAUACCUUUAUGAGUUUACAAAUUUAUUUUUUAAUUGAGAGAACACACAAAUACCUAAUAUAUUUUAUUUUAUGUAUUGUCAUAUGUCAUUUGGAUAUUGUAUUGUUACCCCCAACAAGAUAAUAUUUUUGUAAUUUUAUUUCAAGAAUCUAAUAGUUGGGGAUUUAUACACUAGUAUGAUUGAAAUGAAAUCAAAUAAGACAACAAAUAAUAAUAUUUUUACUAUCAUUUCCUUUUUAAUUUUAGAAAAAACUAAUAAUAUUUUGAUUGUCUUUUUCCCUUUUAAGGAUGCACUUUUAUUUAUAUCCUAUAAAGGUACAAAAUAAUUUACUAAAAAUGACGAGGAGAAAUAUGGUAGAAAUAAUAAAUUUUUCUUAUGUUAUGAUUAUAUUAUUCUUUCUAUUUGAAAAUUGAAGAUAAGUUUUAUUCAUUCAUUUGAAUUUUUCUUUUUUAUUUCAUAUGUUGUAUUUUUUAAUCAUUUUAAUAAGUUUAUUUUGUGUUUUUUAUUACAGCGGAUAGAUACAAAUGUUUUGAUGAUUCAGAUUGUAAAAAUAGAAUUUAUUGUCAGCCUCCUUUAAAAAGGAAAUGCAUAAACAAGAAUUAUUGUAAAUGUGUACUAGCGCGUGAAUUGCUUAAUCCCAGAAGAUAAAUAAAUACCUUUAUGAGUUUACAAUUUUAGUUUUUAAUUGAAAGACUCAAGAGAACACACAAACACCAUAUAUUUUGUGUUGUCAUAUGUCAUUUGGAUAUUGUAUUGUUACUCCAACAAUUUGAUUUUUUUUAUUUUAUUUCAAGAAUUUAAUAGUUGUGGAUUUAUAUACUAGUAUGAUUAUAGUGAAAUGAAAUUAGACAAAAAAUAAUAAUAUUUUUAUUGUUUUUUCCUUUUUAAUUUAAAAAAUAUAUUUUUUGAUUGUCUUUUUCCCUUUUAAUUUUAGAGAAAUAUUCAUGACCUUCAUUUAUGC